GCCCCGUUAGCUCGUGGUAGAGCUCCUAUAAACGGUGAACGAAAGUGCCUAGCAAUAACUGCAAGGAGAUUGCAGGUUCGAAUCCUGCACGAUCCC
Meloidogyne enterolobii is the source of this 96-nucleotide non-coding RNA. Lineage: Eukaryota; Metazoa; Nematoda; Chromadorea; Rhabditida; Meloidogynidae. The record is from the annotation of a GenBank genome assembly.